GUUGGGUAGGGGAGCGUUCUGUAAGCCUGCGAAGGUGGCCUGUGAGGGUUGCUGGAGGUAUCAGAAGUGCGAAUGCUGACAUAAGUAACGAUAAAGCGGGUGAAAAGCCCGCUCGCCGGAAGACCAAGGGUUCCUGUCCAACGUUAAUCGGGGCAGGGUGAGUCGACCCCUAAGGCGAGGCCGAAAGGCGUAGUCGAUGGGAAACGGGUUAAUAUUCCCGUACUUGGUGUUACUGCGAAGGGGGGACGGAGAAGGCUAUGUUGGCCGGGCGACGGUUGUCCCGGUUUAAGCGUGUAGGUGUGUGUUCCAGGUAAAUCCGGUUCACUUUAACACUGAGGCGUGAUGACGAGGCACUACGGUGCUGAAGCAACAAAUGCCCUGCUUCCAGGAAAAGCCUCUAAGCAUCAGGUAACAUCAAAUCGUACCCCAAACCGACACAGGUGGUCAGGUAGAGAAUACCAAGGCGCUUGAGAGAACUCGGGUGAAGGAACUAGGCAAAAUGGUGCCGUAACUUCGGGAGAAGGCACGCUGACACGUAGGUGAAGUGAUUUACUCAUGGAGCUGAAGUCAGUCGAAGAUACCAGCUGGCUGCAACUGUUUAUUAAAAACACAGCACUGUGCAAACACGAAAGUGGACGUAUACGGUGUGACGCCUGCCCGGUGCCGGAAGGUUAAUUGAUGGGGUCAGCGCAAGCGAAGCUCCUGAUCGAAGCCCCGGUAAACGGCGGCCGUAACUAUAACGGUCCUAAGGUAGCGAAAUUCCUUGUCGGGUAAGUUCCGACCUGCACGAAUGGCGUAAUGAUGGCCAGGCUGUCUCCACCCGAGACUCAGUGAAAUUGAACUCGCUGUGAAGAUGCAGUGUACCCGCGGCAAGACGGAAAGACCCCGUGAACCUUUACUAUAGCUUGACACUGAACAUUGAGCCUUGAUGUGUAGGAUAGGUGGGAGGCUUUGAAGCGUGGACGCCAGUCUGCGUGGAGCCGACCUUGAAAUACCACCCUUUAAUGUUUGAUGUUCUAACGUGGACCCGUAAUCCGGGUUGCGGACAGUGUCUGGUGGGUAGUUUGACUGGGGCGGUCUCCUCCUAAAGAGUAACGGAGGAGCACGAAGGUUGGCUAAUCCUGGUCGGACAUCAGGAGGUUAGUGCAAUGGCAUAAGCCAGCUUGACUGCGAGCGUGACGGCGCGAGCAGGUGCGAAAGCAGGUCAUAGUGAUCCGGUGGUUCUGAAUGGAAGGGCCAUCGCUCAACGGAUAAAAGGUACUCCGGGGAUAACAGGCUGAUACCGCCCAAGAGUUCAUAUCGACGGCGGUGUUUGGCACCUCGAUGUCGGCUCAUCACAUCCUGGGGCUGAAGUAGGUCCCAAGGGUAUGGCUGUUCGCCAUUUAAAGUGGUACGCGAGCUGGGUUUAGAACGUCGUGAGACAGUUCGGUCCCUAUCUGCCGUGGGCGCUGGAGAACUGAGGGGGGCUGCUCCUAGUACGAGAGGACCGGAGUGGACGCAUCACUGGUGUUCGGGUUGUCAUGCCAAUGGCACUGCCCGGUAGCUAAAUGCG
Molecule: ribosomal RNA, 1552 nt
Filed under: Salmonella enterica subsp. enterica serovar Infantis
Lineage: Bacteria; Pseudomonadati; Pseudomonadota; Gammaproteobacteria; Enterobacterales; Enterobacteriaceae
Description: bacterial LSU rRNA
Rfam family: Bacterial large subunit ribosomal RNA
Source: RNAcentral